Molecule: ribosomal RNA, 292 nt
Filed under: uncultured bacterium
Lineage: Bacteria
Description: partial 16S ribosomal RNA
Rfam family: Bacterial small subunit ribosomal RNA
Source: RNAcentral
GUGCCAGCAGCCGCGGUAAUACGUAGGGUGCGAGCGUUAAUCGGAAUUACUGGGCGUAAAGCGUGCGCAGGCGGUUUUGUAAGUCAGAUGUGAAAGCCCCGGGCUCAACCUGGGAACUGCGUUUGAAACUACAAGGCUAGAGUGUAGCAGAGGGGGGUAGAAUUCCACGUGUAGCAGUGAAAUGCGUAGAGAUGUGGAGGAAUACCGAUGGCGAAGGCAGCCCCCUGGGCUAACACUGACGCUCAUGCACGAAAGCGUGGGGAGCAAACAGGAUUAGAAACCCUGGUAGUCC